RNAcentral lists this ribosomal RNA (1554 nucleotides) under Vibrio parahaemolyticus. Its description in RNAcentral is "bacterial SSU rRNA". It matches the Rfam family "Bacterial small subunit ribosomal RNA". Lineage: Bacteria; Pseudomonadati; Pseudomonadota; Gammaproteobacteria; Vibrionales; Vibrionaceae. The record is from RNAcentral.
AAAUUGAAGAGUUUGAUCAUGGCUCAGAUUGAACGCUGGCGGCAGGCCUAACACAUGCAAGUCGAGCGGAAACGAGUUAUCUGAACCUUCGGGGAACGAUAACGGCGUCGAGCGGCGGACGGGUGAGUAAUGCCUAGGAAAUUGCCCUGAUGUGGGGGAUAACCAUUGGAAACGAUGGCUAAUACCGCAUGAUGCCUUUGGGCCAAAGAGGGGGACCUUCGGGCCUCUCGCGUCAGGAUAUGCCUAGGUGGGAUUAGCUAGUUGGUGAGGUAAGGGCUCACCAAGGCGACGAUCCCUAGCUGGUCUGAGAGGAUGAUCAGCCACACUGGAACUGAGACACGGUCCAGACUCCUACGGGAGGCAGCAGUGGGGAAUAUUGCACAAUGGGCGCAAGCCUGAUGCAGCCAUGCCGCGUGUGUGAAGAAGGCCUUCGGGUUGUAAAGCACUUUCAGUCGUGAGGAAGGUAGUGUAGUUAAUAGCUGCAUUAUUUGACGUUAGCGACAGAAGAAGCACCGGCUAACUCCGUGCCAGCAGCCGCGGUAAUACGGAGGGUGCGAGCGUUAAUCGGAAUUACUGGGCGUAAAGCGCAUGCAGGUGGUUUGUUAAGUCAGAUGUGAAAGCCCGGGGCUCAACCUCGGAAUUGCAUUUGAAACUGGCAGACUAGAGUACUGUAGAGGGGGGUAGAAUUUCAGGUGUAGCGGUGAAAUGCGUAGAGAUCUGAAGGAAUACCGGUGGCGAAGGCGGCCCCCUGGACAGAUACUGACACUCAGAUGCGAAAGCGUGGGGAGCAAACAGGAUUAGAUACCCUGGUAGUCCCACGCCGUAAACGAUGUCUACUUGGAGGUUGUGGCCUUGAGCCGUGGCUUUCGGAGCUAACGCGUUAAGUAGACCGCCUGGGGAGUACGGUCGCAAGAUUAAAACUCAAAUGAAUUGACGGGGGCCCGCACAAGCGGUGGAGCAUGUGGUUUAAUUCGAUGCAACGCGAAGAACCUUACCUACUCUUGACAUCCAGAGAACUUUCCAGAGAUGGAUUGGUGCCUUCGGGAACUCUGAGACAGGUGCUGCAUGGCUGUCGUCAGCUCGUGUUGUGAAAUGUUGGGUUAAGUCCCGCAACGAGCGCAACCCUUAUCCUUGUUUGCCAGCGAGUAAUGUCGGGAACUCCAGGGAGACUGCCGGUGAUAAACCGGAGGAAGGUGGGGACGACGUCAAGUCAUCAUGGCCCUUACGAGUAGGGCUACACACGUGCUACAAUGGCGCAUACAGAGGGCAGCCAACUUGCGAAAGUGAGCGAAUCCCAAAAAGUGCGUCGUAGUCCGGAUUGGAGUCUGCAACUCGACUCCAUGAAGUCGGAAUCGCUAGUAAUCGUGGAUCAGAAUGCCACGGUGAAUACGUUCCCGGGCCUUGUACACACCGCCCGUCACACCAUGGGAGUGGGCUGCAAAAGAAGUAGGUAGUUUAACCUUCGGGGGGACGCUUACCACUUUGUGGUUCAUGACUGGGGUGAAGUCGUAACAAGGUAGCGCUAGGGGAACCUGGCGCUGGAUCACCUCCUUA